Vicugna pacos (alpaca) is the source of this 5163-nucleotide non-coding RNA. The record is from RefSeq and is a predicted model, not a curated record. Lineage: Eukaryota; Metazoa; Chordata; Mammalia; Artiodactyla; Camelidae.
UCUUGGCUCUGGUGACAGUGCGGUAGGGUCAGAAGCAUUGAAACACUGUGUCUUAUUUGGACCUCUGAAUGCAUUUCCAUAAAGAACGGUACCAGUUGUGACUGGACUGUGCAGGGCCCACAGGACAAAACUACGUGAUUCUUCAGAAAAUCUGAGGUUAGGAUGACUCUUAGGGUAACGUCAGUCUGUGCUGAGAAUGUUGUUCUCGGGGGAGAAUGCUUUCGAGAUUCUGAGCAUUCCAGGUUAGGAAGAACCUUAGAACAUGAUCAGCUUGUAAGUUGAGGGACUGCAUGUAAACUCAAAAAGUGGUUUUUUCCUGCAUGGAAGUGCCCUGUUGUUUGAGACGCUGGAGUGUGUCAGUUCUUUUCUCACCCAGCCCUCUUCUGAAGCUGUCAGAAAAUAUGAAUUCUCUGAUUUUUAGAGUAGCGAAUGUACUAAAAAGGCUCGCAUCUUGACCCUACCAAAAGAAAGCAGGAAGAAAGACCCUGGGAAUAUAGGUUUAGUUCCUCGAUUAUUGCCUUUUAGCAGAGAAUACAAAACCAAAUACACCAUGGCCUUUGCGGAAGGUCUUAUUUUUUCCCUUGAGAAAUAAAAACUUCUGUUCCUUUCUCAGGACUCCUAUAUACCUCUCAUUCUUAAUGCAUUUUGGGGAACAGAUUUGAAGAAUAUAUCUGUGAAUGUUUUCUUUUUCUGGGGAAAUAGAGGAUUUCUUUUUUCUAAAUAGAGAGGUUUUUCUAAAGGUGAUUUAUGUCACCUUUCUUUAGCAAAGUCCGUUUUGUUUUUUUGAAGGCUGUAAAGUAUAGGUCAGCAGUUCAGAGCGAUUAAAUGAUACUUAUCUGGACAGGAACCAAGUCUAUACAGUUGCUUGUGUAAUUUUCACAGAAGGGACAAAACAGUUAAAGAGUAAAAUCCCCCAGCUUCUAAAUGAAUUUUUCUCCCGAACUCGGAAGGGGUGGGCCCACUCGGAACAGGAAGUAAUCGCAGGUCAGCGAUUUGAGUAACGAGAGACGGCUUCUGGAUUUGGCUUAGCUGUUUCCUUCAUGCUGAAAGCCAGGGCAGGCUACAGACACACACCUUCUUCUGCAACAUCUGUAUCUUCCUGGGCUCACCUACUGCACGCGGACACCUGCCCCAUAAGAAUGAGGAGCCGAGGAGACGGCUAGAGCUGGAGGAUGCAAUGGAAGAGGAGGCUGAGCUUCAAACAGUUGCAGGCAGAGGAGAAGUCUUGAAAGUUGGCCUGUCAGCCCUGGUAUAUGGAAUAAUUAGUCCCGAAGAGUCAGAGCAGGACCCAAGAGGAACAGGGUACAAUACAGAAUGGGGACAGGGAUGGGGAGUGUCCACUUUCAUAUGCCACCCAUGGCUCAGAUCUUCCCCCGUUGAAGCGGAUUUUACUUGUAGUUAUACCCAUAUUGACGGUUCCAUAUGUAUUGUGUAAAAAUAUAUUUAUAUUUAAGUUAAUCAAUAAAUUAGUGUUCUGGGCCCUCUCAGUUGUCAAGGACUAGGAUGUCACUCAAAUGAGCUUAAGGCCAAUGGGCUCAUUGUAACAGUGACAGAGACUAUCAUGACAUUGUUCUGAGUACAUGAUCACACGAACUCUUCCCCCCUGCCCUGGGGAGUAGAGUCUUACCAUCCUCAUUCUACUGAGGAGGUGCAGGCUUCAGGAAUGUGCCCUAAGGCAUGUGGCUGGUGGGUGGGAAUCUGGACUCACACCCAGGUGGUCACUUGAAAAAACCAUAGUCUCUCACCACAGUACUGCUCUGCCCUUUGAAAGGAUUCUGAGCCCGUGAAACAAAGAAUAGGUGGGUGUCCUAGGGACAGAGACAAAGGCCUGGAAAAUUGAGAAUGGAGUCAUAAUCUUUCUCAGAGUUUGUGUGGUUUCUCCUCAUUUGGCCCCUCCCGUUUUCUCUCCUAUCUUCCUCUGUUGCUUCGUUUUACAUAUGGCCCCUGAAUGGUUAGCCAUAAGGCUACAGCCUGGGACCUCAGUAUCUUCUGGCUCAGUUCUUAAGGGAGAGUUUCCUAUUGGCCCAGCUCACUGGUUCAGGCCACACAGCUAUUGCAGCCUGGCCAGGAAAAUAAUUAUCUGCCUUUGGGUUGGCUGUUCAUCCCAGGUCCACUGGUGGCUGCCUCGUGCACUGACUUCUCCAGCACCAUUUCUGCAAGCAGGGGAUUGUGGGUAAGGCAUGGGAAGUUGUUCGGAGUAGGAAAUUAACAUCUGGUAUAAGCUCAUUUUAUACUUUAAUACUUUUAAAGUUAAAUAACGCAUUUGCUAUCCUUAUAUAAAGUUUCAGAUUAAAAGAAUCUGUAUCUGUUAAGACUCUUUAGGUUGAUAGAAACCUGAUUCAAAGGGGCUUGGAAAAAUAUUACAUUUAAUUCAUUCUUGUAAGUGUGAAGGCUUAAAGCCUUGGCUGGAUUCAGGUCUCAAACAAUGACAUCAGAAAUCUGUCUCUUGCCAUCGCUUGACUUGACAUUCACCUGAAUUGGUUUCAUCCUCAGGCAGGUCCUCCCUUCAUGACAUCAAGACAUAAUUGGUAGCUCCAGGCUUGUCUGUUAGCUAAGCCACUCCAGUGGGGAGUUUCUCUUUCUUUGGAGCUCUAGCCAGAUUCCCAGAUUUUAUUCUCAUUGUCUGGAUUGGUUCCAUGCCAGUUUCUCAACCAAACAUGGCAGCCAGGCGAAUUGGUCAGGCCUGGGUCACUGCCCACCCUUGGAAAGGGGUUAAAUCACCCCUUUAUUAAAACACAGGGACUAGGAAUGGGGGCGGGGCAUAGUCUCCAGUGACAACUGGGAUAUUAGUACCCAGAGGAAUGAGGAAGGAUGCUGUCCCCACAAAAAUGACCUAUGUUCGCUUUGGAACAUUUUCAGGUAUAUCACAAGUAAUUGGACAUCCAUAAUCAAGGUUUGGGGGCUCAGGGUAAGCAGUUUGGGUCACUGGCUUUAUCUUAUUUGUAUGCGACAAAUUCAAAGACCAAGGAAAUUACAAGCGUUUGGAAAGGCCUAGAUCUGUGGUUUUUAGUUGUUAAUCCUGAAAGAUGAUACUAUUAUAUCAAACAAACUUGUUUUUAAGACUUGCAUCUUUUUGAGAGAGCGAGUCACCCGAUGGUCUUGUCUCCAUUUUUUGAUUAAGUAGGAGGAUAAGACUUGAAAAGCUCUUGUUAGGUGCCCUCUAUUUAAAGUCUAAGCUGUUCUGGCAUUGAAAUGACUUUGGUGAAUUACAUAAAGGCUUUGCGUAAACCUUUAGCAGUGCCUAGGAUUUAAGGCCCAGUUUAUCUAGGUAAUGAUUAAAUUGUCCUGUUUAUAUGUCCAUAAUCUUAAUACCUACUGGGAAGUAAUUGCUUGGUUUUUAACUAUCUCAUAAAUCAGGAACUUCAAGGCCAGGGGAGGUUAAAUUAGCAAGUCCUCAUGCUUGCAGAUACAGGUUGAAUCUGUGUAACCUCGAAUCUUGAGGAGUAGUUGUUGUGUGUGUGUGUGUGUGUGUGUGUGUGUGUGUGUUUGUGUCUGUCUGUCUGUGUGUGUGUGUGUAGAUACAGCUUUGUGCUGACAGAACUUCCGUAUCUCUUUGCUUACUGUACCUACUGCGGUCCCAGAUGCCCUUUGGAACAAGUCAUCAGCAGCCUGAGCAGACGGAUAUGGAUUGAUUUGCCUUAAAUCCUGAAGAGGGAGGUAGGGAUCGUAGUUAGAUAUGCAGCAAAAGCCAGAGGAGCAGUGGGGCUUGGAGGAAGGGCGAGAGCGUGGUCGGGGAUCAUUGAAGGCUUCACCAGAGGCCUUGGUGGGAGGGAGCGGGGGUGGGGGGCUGCCUCGCAGGCAGGGCAGUUUAAUGGUUAGGCAUGUGGGCUUUGGGGUCUGACUUCCUGGUCUGAAUCCUCGUGGUGUCUUGCUAGGUUUGUGACUGUGGGCAAGUUACUCAACCCUCUGAGCCUUUGUUGUUUUUAAAAGGAGGAUAAUGGCAGUACCUGUCUCACAAUGUUGGGGAGAUUAAAUGAGAAAAUGCAUGUGAAGAUCUCAGAGCUGUGCUUAGUGUGUUGUAAGCAUUCAGUAAGUUAUUAACAUUAGUUAUCAAUAUUUUAACGAGCAGAGGAUGGGGUAGAGUGUGCCUGGGGAGAAGAGACGAGGUGGUUGCAGGCUGACGACGUGUGUGGACGAUGGAUGGAGGACAUGGCUUCCAUCUGUGAACGGCUGUCCGGUUUGUCCGGAGUUCGGGUCACCAAGGCUCCCUUUCUCUCUUCUGUGUUUUCCAAGGAGUCACCUCCUGGAAGAAGUUUCCUGAAAGGGGCUUCAAAGCAGCAUAGAAGCAUAUCCUGGCCUGCCUAACAAUCUGUUUCUCAUUGUACACGAGCAAACCGGCCUUCUGGUUUAUCAAUCAGUAUCUUGAGCAUUUGGUUGGCGUGAGUCAGUUCCCCAGAGUCUCAUCACCCCUGAGGGAACUGAUAAAAUCAAAUUCCUGAAUGCAGAGCUGAAGACCAGGCCUUGGACCUGCAGUGACCCCUUGGAGGCACAGGCACUGAGAGGCCCAGCUCCAAACAGAGAACCUGCCCACCUCUUUUUCUCCUCCUUCUUGCUCCAGCCUUUACACUUUUAAACAGUGUGACAAGAUGAACCUCAAAUUCCUGAUGGGAUUGAGCAGAGGAGCGGCAUGCAGAAGGAAGUGCCCAUUAAAUGCUUGUUGAACUAAUGAAGGGUCUUCGCUGCUGGUGAUAGAAUGGGCAGUGGCCUGGGGCAGGAGGAGUCAUGCUCUGGCAGCAGGAGUCUGGAUUCUGGUCCCUUCUCCCACUUAAUGUGUGCCUUUAGACAGAUCCUUUAACUGAUCCUCACACGCCUUAUUUGUGCAACAAGAUAAAAUCUUUCCCUACUGAAGGCUGAAUGCCCUCUUGGUUUCUCUCCCAGCUCUAACAGUUACACCCUAACAAGAUGACUGCCAAGAAGGGUUGGGGAUGUUAUGGCACAAAAUUUUCUACCAUGUGGAAUCCAAACUCCAGCCUUCCUUUCUUCCACCGGUCUUCCAAAGGAUAGGGACUGGCUUCAGCUUAAUGGAUUAACUUCUUUGAGAAGCACUGAAAAAUCUUCAAGACAUCUCAUGAAAACUGACUUAGAUCCUUUAAAAUUGUAAAUGGUAGCUUCUGAGGAAUUUUCGAAAUUUAAUGCCACAUUAAUAAAAAUAUCUGGAACUAA